Molecule: ribosomal RNA, 253 nt
Filed under: uncultured bacterium
Lineage: Bacteria
Description: partial 16S ribosomal RNA
Rfam family: Bacterial small subunit ribosomal RNA
Source: RNAcentral
CACGGGGGGAGCAAGCGUUGUUCGGAAUUAUUGGGAGUAAAGCGCGUGUAGGCGGCUUGGUAGGUCAGCUGUGAAAACUCGAGGCUCAACCUCGAGAUGUCGGUUGAAACCACCUUGCUAGAGUCCGGAAGAGGAGAGUGGAAUUCCUGGUGUAGCGGUGAAAUGCGCAGAUAUCAGGAAGAACACCAAUGGCGAAGGCAGCUCUCUGGGACGGUACUGACGCUGAGACGCGAAAGCGUGGGGAGCGAACAGG